UAAAAAUUUCGGUCAGGCGAGGGGGAAGCAGGGUGGGGAAGUCGCUUUCGCAGUCUGUGAGCUGUCAGCGUGCGUGCUGUCUUGCGCGGUGUCCCGGGCGCAGGGAGGGCUUGUCUCCAUGCGGUCGUGAUAAUGAAGUGAGUCUAAAAAUGUGAUCAAACUGUGCUUUUGUUUGGACCUCUUCUUAUUCGUAUCAUCUUUGUCUGGUAUUGCAGUUCAUCGUAAUCGGGCGAUGCGUGGCAGAAACUCAUGGGUUUCCAACUGAUGCUGUACGGGAUUGUGAUCCUGCAGACGUGUGUUGAUGUUAACUAUGCUGCAUGGAGAGAGACGCCCAGCAGUGUGCCUAUUACCAUGUCUGCCCAGUUGCGCUGCUUUUUUUGUACGUUCUCAACGACUAACUUCACGGAACAUCUC
This is a long non-coding RNA of Frankliniella occidentalis (western flower thrips), 414 nucleotides long. RefSeq lists it as uncharacterized. NCBI's taxonomy places the organism in Eukaryota, Metazoa, Arthropoda, Insecta, Thysanoptera, Thripidae. The transcript is spliced from 3 exons. The record is from RefSeq and is a predicted model, not a curated record.